AAUUUCAUAGUGGGAAAUUUCAUCUUUCAUGAAGAGCUUGUAGGCUUCCUGCAACAACCAUGGAAAUGUGUCCACUGGAUCUCUCUCCAAGAAGGAACUUGCCAAUCAGCCAUGAGAAGUGCAGUGAGCUGUCAUUCCCCCAGGUGCAACAUUUAGCCGAGGCCAGGCUCUUCCCAGGAAGACCCCAGCCAAGGACAGAACAGGACUAAAUGAAGAUCAAGUCUGAAAGUCAUUCACUUUGUCAUCUGUUGGCUCUACCUUUGACUCAAGUGCCAGCCUCUUCAUCUCUCUCCUGGAUUCCUAUAAUACCUUCUCAGCUUCGGCUGUCAUUUCCCCUCCACACACAGCCAGCAUGAGUGACUGCAAAAUCAAAGUCCUGAGCUGGUCUCCCCACUCACUCAAAGGCCCUGUAGGACAGUGUCCCUCUGUGAUGGCAUAGCCACGCUGGCCUCUUGGCUGUUCCUCAGAUAUCCCAUGCUGCUGCCACCUUGAGCACUUGCUGGUUUAUCUGCCUGAUUCAAUGCUCUUCUCCCGACAUUUAUCCACAUGGACCCAUCUGCAAAGUUCUCAAGUUUCUGCUCAGAGUCACCUCAUCAGGUUGGUGACAACCUUAUUUAAAAUAGCUCUUCUUCUCCAUAUCUCCUUGCCUGACUUCAUUUUUAUCAUAGCAAUUGUAUUGAUUUGUUUUGUUGUUUAUUGUGUGUCUCCCUAUUCUAGAAUGUAAGCUCCUUGAGGACAGGGACUUGUCUGCUUGACUUGUUUCUAUCAGGGUGUCAGGACAGGGCAUAUGGUAGGUGCUUAAUAAAUAUGUGUGGGUGAAUGGA
Homo sapiens (human) is the source of this 824-nucleotide long non-coding RNA. RefSeq lists it as uncharacterized. NCBI's taxonomy places the organism in Eukaryota, Metazoa, Chordata, Mammalia, Primates, Hominidae. The transcript has 2 exons. The record is from RefSeq and is a predicted model, not a curated record.